This 555-nucleotide ribosomal RNA is filed under the name Eunotia sp. RNAcentral's name for it is "SSU rRNA". It matches the Rfam family "Eukaryotic small subunit ribosomal RNA", at positions 592 to 1152 of the family's 1831-position model. The record is from RNAcentral. Lineage: Eukaryota; Bacillariophyta; Bacillariophyceae; Eunotiales; Eunotiaceae.
CCAUAGCGUAUAUUAAAGUUGUUGCAGUUAAAAAGCUCGUAGUUGGAUUUGUGGCAGGUGCGUGCUGCCCGACACUGUGUGUUGGUGUUAGUGCGCUCCGCCAUCCUUGGGUGGAACCUGUGUGGCAUUAGGUUGUCGUGCAGGGGAUGCCCAUCUUUUACUGUGAAAAAAUUAGAGUGUUCAAAGCAGGCUUAUGCCGUUGAAUAUAUUAGCAUGGAAUAAUGAGAUAGGACCUUGGUACUAUUUUGUUGGUUUGCGCACCAAGGUAAUGAUUAAUAGGGACAGUUGGGGGUAUUCGUAUUCCAUUGUCAGAGGUGAAAUUCUUGGAUUUCUGGAAGACGAACUACUGCGAAAGCAUUUACCAAGGAUGUUUUCAUUAAUCAAGAACGAAAGUUAGGGGAUCGAAGAUGAUUAGAUACCAUCGUAGUCUUAACCAUAAACUAUGCCGACAAGGGAUUGGCGGGGUUUCAUUUUGUCUCCGUCAGCACCUUAUGAGAAAUCACAAGUCUUUGGGUUCCGGGGGGAGUAUGGUCGCAAGGCUGAACCCUUAAAGAA